UUGCAUAAAAAUUUAUGUCAUAAUGACAUAAAUUUCGAUCGUGACAUAAAAUCAUGCAUAGCUUAUGUCGUUGACAUAAAUUUCGUUGCAUAAAAAUAUUUAUGUAUUGUUUUAGCUUAUGACGCGAUUUAAUCAUCAUUACAUAAACUGAAUAGUCAUGAACGAGCCUGUUGACAUAAACUUGGCAUAAGUUGUCAUUUUUCAGCCGCAGGAAGCUCUUGCGAAAAAGGGUCUUCGGCUUUCUAUUUGGACGGGAUAGAGGCCUAUUUUGGUGACCCACACAAACGGUGAGAAGAGGUAAAGAGAGAAAGGGGCACAGCAACUGGAAGGAGAGGGAAGUCCAGACACUCUGCCACUGUCUGCGAUUGAAUAAGAAAUUUCUCUUUGGAUCAGGGGGUCAAGCUUCUAGUAUGAAGGUGACCCACACAAACGGUGAGAAGAGGUAUAGAGAGAAAGGGGCACAGCAACUGAAAGGAGAGGGAAGUCCAGACACUCUACCACGGUCUGCCAUUGAAUAAGAAGUCUCUCUUUGGAUCAGGGGGUCAAGCUCCUAGUAUGAAGAUUGUUCAAGAGUCAAGACUGUUGAAGAGGUGACGUCAUGGACCUGGUAGCACCUGGCAAGGGAACUAUAUUACUGUUCAUAAAUCUA
Lytechinus variegatus (green sea urchin) is the source of this 649-nucleotide long non-coding RNA. RefSeq lists it as uncharacterized. The record is from RefSeq and is a predicted model, not a curated record. NCBI's taxonomy places the organism in Eukaryota, Metazoa, Echinodermata, Echinoidea, Temnopleuroida, Toxopneustidae. The transcript is spliced from 4 exons.